GCGGGCGUAACUCAGGUGGCAGAGUGCCAGCUUCCCAAGCUGGUCGUCGCGGGUUCGAGCCCCGUCGCCCGCU
RNAcentral lists this transfer RNA (73 nucleotides) under bacterium. Its description in RNAcentral is "tRNA-Gly". It matches the Rfam family "tRNA". Rfam says of the family: Transfer RNA (tRNA) molecules are approximately 80 nucleotides in length. Their secondary structure includes four short double-helical elements and three loops (D, anti-codon, and T loops). Further hydrogen bonds mediate the characteristic L-shaped molecular structure. tRNAs have two regions of fundamental functional importance: the anti-codon, which is responsible for specific mRNA codon recognition, and the 3' end, to which the tRNAs corresponding amino acid is attached (by aminoacyl-tRNA synthetases). tRNAs cope with the degeneracy of the genetic code in two manners: having more than one tRNA (with a specific anti-codon) for a particular amino acid; and 'wobble' base-pairing, i.e. permitting non-standard base-pairing at the 3rd anti-codon position. The record is from RNAcentral.